This is a long non-coding RNA of Pygoscelis adeliae (Adelie penguin), 692 nucleotides long. RefSeq lists it as uncharacterized. The record is from RefSeq and is a predicted model, not a curated record. Lineage: Eukaryota; Metazoa; Chordata; Aves; Sphenisciformes; Spheniscidae. The transcript has 3 exons.
AGGUAGGCAGGAACCUCCCGUAGCCGAGUGAGGCAGCAUGGCAACCUGCGUGGAGGCUGCAUGCAGUGAUGUGAUGGGAGCUCAAGAAGGAUGGCAGUUGUGAACGGGGAGAUGUAGAGAUCUGGCUGGGAUCUCGGGAUUUGCUUGGGGUGUCGCUGGAGCCAGCUAUGAAGGUGGAGGCAGUAGCCACGCUGGGCAGGAGGAGGACUCCAGGGAUGACAGUGGCCAGUUCAGCAUGGCAAAGCAGGGUGACUGGUAUCUGCAGGGAUGGAAAACCCUGACAGCGAGAUCUGCGGCCAAGCUUGUUGCUCCAAGGUGUGCUGAGGAAGUUGGAAGGAGGCUCAGACUCAAGUGCUGAGGAGGGGAGAGUUGAUACUGCAGCCUGAUCAAGGUGGGAGGCAAAGGAGGUGAGGCCGGACUUCUCCAGCAAAGGAUGGGACGUUUGCGGAAUGUAUAGUGUCUUUGUAAAAUUUCAUCUCAUUCUGGAAAGGCUCAAGAGACGGUCGGCCUGCCAGCCUGCUCCCUCUCCAGCCAGGAUAGCCCUCCUCAACUGCGAAAGCCAAGGCAAGCUGAUCUCUGCCCUCCUGCAAGACGCCUUCUGUGCCUCUUGAAAAUGCUUUUUCAGUUGUCCUUGUAAAAAAAAAAAAAAAAAAAAAAAAAAGCUUUGCAUAAUAAAGUCAAUUCUGAGGGAA